CGGCUAACUCCGUGCCAGCAGCCGCGGUAAUACGGAGGGUGCGAGCGUUAAUCGGAAUUACUGGGCGUAAAGCGUGCGCAGGCGGUUAUAUAAGACAGAUGUGAAAUCCCCGGGCUCAACCUGGGAACUGCAUUUGUGACUGUAUAGCUAGAGUACGGCAGAGGGGGAUGGAAUUCCGCGUGUAGCAGUGAAAUGCGUAGAUAUGCGGAGGAACACCGAUGGCGAAGGCAAUCCCCUGGGCCUGUACUGACGCUCAUGCACGAAAGCGUGGGGAGCAAACAGGAUUAGAUACCCUGGUAGUCCACGCCCUAAACGAUGUCAACUGGUUGUUGGGUCUUCACUGACUCAGUAACGAAGCUAACGCGUGAAGUUGACCGCCUGGGGAGUACGGCCGCAAGGUUAAAACUCAAAUGAAUUGACGGGG
Molecule: ribosomal RNA, 424 nt
Filed under: Chaetoceros affinis
Lineage: Eukaryota; Bacillariophyta; Thalassiosirophyceae; Chaetocerotales; Chaetocerotaceae
Description: partial Bacterial small subunit ribosomal RNA
Rfam family: Bacterial small subunit ribosomal RNA
Source: RNAcentral